ACAGAGCCGGGACCGAGCGAGCCGGCGAGCGACCGAGGUAAAGGUAUCGCGCCUUAGUCAGAGGCCACCAGAGUUGGGUUACAUUUUGUUAGUAGACACCCUUUUAUCAUCUUUUGUACUUGAUGAUUAGUGAUGUAAAGAAAAGAAUGCAAAGCUUAUUUUGAGGUAAAUGUGUUGUAAGAAAGAAAUGAUGAGAUUAUGUAAGAACAGCAAAGAAUCUUAAAUGUAAAAGAUGGAUGCAAUGUAUAUGAUCUAAAAUGAAUCAUAUUACUUGUGAAUGUUUAGUUUUCCUUUCUUUCACUGAUGGCUAUUGCUUACCCUCGCGUAAGCCGUUUGUGUAUGUUUCCGCUAGUGCUUUUCUCUAUUGAUGAAAAUGUACAUGUGAUGAGCCUUGGGCGGAUAGGGAAAACUCUGUCCGUCCGGCGUCUGUUUGACGCGCUCGGGUCGGGCCAAAUUGGCAGCGGUCCCGGGGCGUGACAGAUAGGUUGGUAUCAGAGCCAAUAGUGAAAGAAUAGGAAUGGACCUAGAGACCUAUAGGAUUGGAAGGCCUUAAGGAUCUAGGAAACGUGAGUGACGUGGGAUCAAGUUAGCGAAAGCAUGUGAUUGGGUUAAGUUGGAACGUCUCUAAUGUGAUUAGAGGCUAGGUUUAAUUUUCGUUUAUCCUCUACUUCUAGUGUUGUGUCGGGCGGCCGACGACAUGACGCUUGAGGCAAGGAUGAAUAUGCAUGUUGCUUUCGCCUAAUUGGGUAUGGUCAAGUAAUGUUGGUCAAGUGACUAAUGUGAGUUGCUUCUUUUCAGGAAGCAAUGGCACCUCGACGUCGAUCGCAGACAAGGUCGAUGCCGGAGGAAGCGAAUGCGGUGCCCGAGCAAUCCGGAGCAAGUGACGACGGAGAGCUCAGGGAGCAAAUGGCCGCGCUUAUUGGCGUAGUGCGGCAACAAGCGGAGUCUGUUCAACGCCAAGGGGAACAGAUUCAGCGCAUCUCCAGGAGACCUUGGAGCGCCAGCAGGCGGCGGCGGCCCAGGCGGACGACGAGCAUGUCGCGCCCCCUGCGGUAGUGCCGAGCGUGGACGAGGGAGCGGCGGCAGCGGCGGCUGUCCCAGUCACGGUAGUACCGGCCGGGUCGGGAACGUCGAAUCCCGAUAGCGCGGCAGUUGAAUGCGGAGCGAGAGCGCACUUUGGCGGCGCUUAUACAGUUCAAGAAGUUCGAUCCCACCUACCUUCGAGGGCGGUUUGGUGGAGCCGGCGGUUGUGGAGUCGUGGAUCGACUCGAUGGAGACCCUAUUCGAGGACCUUAAUACCUCGGAGAAGGAUAAAGUGUAUCCUCGCCACCCAUUAUCUAGGGAAGGCGUCGAAAGGUGUGGUGGAAGCGAGUUAAGCGGGAUCGACCUACCGAUCUCCCGCUCAUGCUUUGGGAAGAGUUCAAGAGAGCGGUGUUCGUGAACUACUUCCCCGACACGGUGAAGCGGAAGCUACAAGAAAAGUUUCCGCAAGUUGAGACAGGGUGAUCGAUCGGUGGGGGAGUAUGAGCAGGAAUUCUCCCACAUUAUUGACUUGCGUUCCCGACGUUGUUCGUGAUGAUCGGGACCGGGCGGAUUGGUUCUUGCGAGGACUUCAGCCCCGAAUUUAUGAAAAGGUGCAGAUUCUGAAGUUGUCGACCUUUGCGGAGGUCUUCGAUAGAGCCCUUUGUGGGCGGAGCACGGUAGCGCCCAUGUACGUGAAGAACGAGAAGCUAUUGCCGAGACCAAGGACAAGGACAAGAAGAGAACGGCGGGCUGGUGCCGGGGGCCGGCCAAAUGCUAAGAAACCCCCUCGGUAUCCCCGACAGCAGCGAGGAAUUGGAGACCGCCUCGAUGUGUUAUAUGUGGCGGUGAGCACAAGGUGUCGACUUGCCCGCAGCGAGACGGCAAAUGUUUCAAGUGCGGCCAACCGGGACACCUGUCAUCCGGGAGUGCCCGUUGUGGACGUCGUCUGCGCCGACGGCGACAUUCAGCACCGUCUACCCCGAGACAGCUUGCGGGGCUUACCACCAGCGAUGUCGGCUGGGCGCGCGUCAUCACCGCGUCAGCCGGAGGGAUCGAGAGCGCCUAGCGGCCGAGUCUUUGCAGCUCAGGUGGAGGAGCAACAACCUGCAGCACCCGACGACGUCGUGGCAGGUAUAAUUGUGAUUAAAGGCACUAGAGCUAGAGCAGUGUUUGAUACAGGCGCAUCUCAUUCAUUCAUUAGCACUUCAUUUGCUAAGACACAUGGCAUAGAGAUGGUGUACAAUGAGGAUUACUGGUGGGUGAACGCUCCAGAGCAUUCAUUCAGUGUCCAUAAUGAGUGUUUGGCGUGUCCAGUGCAAAUAGGCGAUUGGAUUAUGCCGAUUGAUCUGCUAGUGCUAGAUCAGAUGUGGGGAUUCGAUGUUAUCUUGGGGACCAACUGGCUCUCCAAGUACUAUGCGGUGAUAGAUUGUGAAAGUAAGGUGAUCACUUUUCGUGAGCCUAAUCAAGAGGAGUUAGUCUACCAAGCGUGCAAAAGUAGGCGCUUCGCGGCGACUAUAUCGUCAGUAAGGGCGAAGAAAAUGAUCAAAGGAGGGUGUAAGGCCUAUUUGGCAACCAUGGUGGAUGCUCGAAGGGAGUACCCAGACCUUGGGAAGAUAUCCGAGUAGUGUGCGAGUACCCGGAUGUGUUUCCGGCGGAGUUACCGGGACUGCCACCGGACCGGAAAGUUGAGUUUGUCAUUGACUUGAUUCCCGGGGCGGAACCAGUUUCGAAGGCUCCGUAUAGAAUGGCACCGGUGGAGUUAAAGGAGCUAAAAGGUCAACUACAAGACUUGCUCGAUAAAGGCUUCGUGAGACCGAGUGUGUCACCGUGGGGAGCUCCGGUGCUAUUUGUGAAGAAAAAGGAUGGCACACUUCGACUCUGCGUAGAUUAUCGCGAGUUAAACAAAGUAACGAUAAAGAACAAGUACCCGUUGCCAAGGAUUGAUGAUCUGUUCGAUCAGUUGCAAGGGUCCAAGGUGUAUUCGAAGAUUGAUCUCCAAUCGGGGUAUCAUCAAUUAAAGAUCAGGCCGAAAGAUGUGCACAAAACAGCGUACCGUACGCGGUAUGGCCAUUAUGAGUUUACGGUAAUGCCGUUUGGGCUUACCAAUGCCCCGGCAGCAUUUAUGGACUUGAUGAAUCGAGUCUUUAGACCGUUGUUGGAUCGAUGCGUCGUGGUGUUUAUUGACGACGUCUUGGUUUAUUCAAAGAGUGAGGAGGAGCACGAAGAGCAUCUGAGAGCGGUGUUGCAGAUACUCAGACAAGAGAAGCUCUAUGCAAAGUUAAAGAAGUGUGACUUCUGGCUAAAGGAGGUCACAUUCUUGGGUCAUGUGGUAUCGGGCGACGGAGUUUCGGUAGACCCGAAGAAAGUAGAGGCGAUCAAGGAUUGGCCUCGCCCGACGAGUGUAGCGGAGGUCCGCAGUUUUCUUGGACUGGCGGGCUACUACCGGCGGUUCGUGGAGGGGUUCGCCAAAAUAAUCACUCCACUAACGCGCCUCACGCAUAAAGGAGUAAAGUACGUGUGGAGCGACGAUUGCGAUCGAAGCUUCGAGGAGUUAAAGAACAGAUUGACGUCGACCCCGGUGCUUGCCUUGCCGACUCCGGGGGAGACCUUUGUAGUGUACAGUGAUGCCUCGUAUGUUGGUCUCGGGUGUGUAUUAAUGCAAAAUGGGCGAGUUAUUGCUUAUGCAUCGCGCCAAUUAAAGAGCUACGAGAAGAACUACCCGAUUCACGACCUCGAGUUAGCUGCGGUGAUUUUCGCGCUAAAGCUGUGGAGGCAUUACUUGUAUGGUGAACAUUGUGAGGUGUAUACCGAUCACAAGAGCCUGAAGUAUUUGUUCACCCAGAGGGAGUUGAACAUGCGACAGCGGCGGUGGUUAGAGUUGCUGAAGGACUAUGAUGUCACCAUAUUAUACCACCCGGGAAAAGCCAAUGUCGUGGCCGAUGCCUUGAGUAGAAAGUCGGCGGAGAACUUAGCGACGGCAAUUACGCCUCAACCGCUAUUACAAAAGGAAAUGCAACGAUUCGGGUUGGAAGUGGUAGCGCCGGGAGUGCCGGCUACACUUGCCACAUUGGUUGUGCAACCGACCCUGUUGGAAAGAAUCAAAGAGUUACAAACCUCGGAUCCUUAUCUCCAAAAGGUUCGAGAUGAUGUUGAGAACGGUAAAGCCGAAGACUUUGGCGUUGGAGCUGAUGGCGCACUUCGAUUCCGAGAUCGAUGGUGUGUGCCUAAAGAUGAUGAGUUGCGAGGGGCGAUCAUGCAGGAAGCACAUCAAUCUCCCUAUAGUAUACACCCCGGCGGCACUAAAAUGUACAAGGAUUUGAAAGAGCACUAUUGGUGGCCGGGUAUGAAAAGAGAUAUUGGGGAGUUCGUGGCGCAAUGUUUAACGUGCCAACAAGUUAAAGCUGAGCGCCGAUUUCCGGCGGGAAAGCUACAAAGUCUACCGAUACCCGUUUGGAAAUGGGAAAACAUAGCAAUGGACUUUGUUACAGGUUUGCCUCGAUCGCAAGGCGGACAUGAUGCGAUAUGGGUGAUAGUGGAUCGAUUGACAAAGUCGGCACACUUCUUGCCGAUACAUACUACGUGGUCGGGAGACAAGCUAGCGCAAGUUUAUCUCGACGAGGUUGUGAGACUUCAUGGGGUUCCAGUGUCGAUCGUGUCGGAUCGCGACCCCAGGUUCACAUCCCACUUUUGGAAAAGUUUGCAAGACGCGCUAGGCACGCGGCUCGAUUUUAGCACGGCGUUUCAUCCUCAGAGUGAUGGACAAUCAGAGCGAACGAUACAAAUCCUUGAGGAUUUACUUCGAGCGUGUGUGCUAGAUUACAAAGGAGGAUGGCAUGAUUUCUUGCCUAUGGCGGAGUUCGCCUACAAUAAUAGCUACCAAGAGAGCAUAGCAAUGGCGCCUUUUGAGGCACUAUAUGGACGUAAGUGUCGUUCUCCUAUUCAUUGGAGCGACGUGGGCGAGAAAGCGGCUCUUGGCCCGGAUGUAGUGCGGGAGGCGGAAGAGAAAGUUCGCCUUGCCCGUCAACGGUUGGCGAUGGCGCAAUCUCGGCAAAAGAGUUAUGCCGACAAGCGAAGAAAGGAUUUAGAGUUCGCGGUUGGAGACCGUGUAUUCUUGAGAGUAUCGCCGAUGCGAGGAGUUAAACGAUUUGGGGUCCGUGGGAAGCUAAGUCCCCGAUAUGUCGGACCAUUUGAGAUAUUAGAGCGUGUGGGUGCGGUGGCGUAUAAGCUCGCAUUACCACCGAGACUCGCGGGAGUUCAUAAUGUAUUUCUUGUGUCGAAUCUUCGAAAGUAUAUCCGAAACCCGACACAUGUAUUGGAGUAUGAGCCCGUGGAGCUACGUGAGGAUAUGACCUACGAGGAGUACCCGGUGUGCAUCCUCGAUAGAGAAGUGAAAAAGUUGCGAAGUCGCAAAAUCCCUUAUGUGAAAGUCCAGUGGAGCAACCAUGAUGUGCGAGAAGCCACUUGGGAGCUCGAGGAGUCAAUGCGGAAAGAAUAUCCGCAUCUAUUUGAGUCGACGAGUUAAGGUAUGCGUAAUUUCGCGGACGAAAUUAUUUUAAGGGGUGGAGAAUGUAAUAUACCGAAAAUUCGGAAAAUAAAUAUCGAACUUUAGUCAAAUUGACCAAAGUACGAGAAUGGUGCACUUCGGAAAGUCCGAAGGUGUUAAAAUGAUCGAAAGUGAGUUACGGGAGGUUUUCGAGAGCUAGAGAAUCAAAUUCUGCAAAACUGCAGUUUUUGAGCUCUCGGGGACCGGUCCCUGGUGGGAGAGACCGGUCCCCGAACGCGUGCAGAAUGAGACAGCCGAAAAAUCGGCUAAGUCCUGGAAGAUCAGCUCUCGGGAACCGGUCUCUGUCUGAGAGACCGGUCCCCCAGAGACCGGUCCCAUAAGGAGAGACCGGACCCAUCGCGCGCAGCUGCUCUGGCUGCGCUGGGAGAGCUCUCGGAGACCGGUCCCUAGUCGGGGAGACCGGUCCCCGAGCCCGAAAACUGCCCAGUCCAGGCAGUUGCAAUAGAUGAAAGUUGAGGGGUUUAUUAGCAUUUUUGCCACCCAAUGGUUAUGUAAGGGGGCUGAAAGGGCCUUUCUCUCAUUCCACUCCCUCUCACACUCUCUCCUCUCUUUCUCUCUCUAGAAGACAAAGAAGGAGAAGAAGAAGAAGGAGAAGAAGACAAAGAAGGAGAAGAAGGUGAAGAAGAAGCUUUUGGAGCAAAGGAGCCUCAUCUUCUUCCUCUCUAGGGCAAGAAAGGAAAGCUUACAAGGUAAGCUUUGAUCUAUAUUGUAGAAAAACCCUAGAAUGAGUUUUGAAUAACCUAGAAAUGGGUUUUAAUGGGAUAUUUGAAGAGUUUUGAAGCUUUCUUUUGGUUCUUUAGAGAUCAAAUCCAUGGUUGAGCUCAAGGUGAGCUUCAACCCACCUCUAAUGGUGAAAUCCAAACUAGGGUUUUGGAAAGCCUAAGAAUGAUUCUAAUGGGCUAUUUAGAGUAUAAUGAAGCUACUUUUGCUUCCCAAUGAGAUCAAACCCUAGGUUUUGAUAUACAUUGGAGCUAGGGCACCCAAAUUGGGGCUUUUGCUCAUGAAGGUUUCUAAGUGCAAUUGACCCUCUAAAAACCUAAUUGGGGGUAUUUCCGACGCGUUGGUGCGCUCGGAAUAGCAUUUCGAAAAGUGUAUGAAAAGUUAUGGGCAAAAUGGCCUAAUAAGGGUUCGUUUUGCCGCAGGUAAAGAACGAGGCAUCUAAAAAUUCUAAGAAAAUCAUCGGAGCACCUAAAGAGACCUACAAGGUGGGUGGUGCUUCUCAAACUCAUUGAAAUUCUCUCUAUGCCUAAUGUGUCAUUCUUUGAGCAUAUGUUAUAUGUAUUGUUGCAUGCAUUUUAGGGUAAAGUAAUGAUGAAAUGUGAUGAUUGCAUAAUUGUGAGCACAACUUGCAUAAUGAGAUGGUUGAGAACCUAAUAAUGUCAAAACCCUAUAUGUAUGCAUGAGAGAAAAGUGAGCACCCAAAGUGAGCAAAAGAACAGAGUGGCACAAUGACAUAGAUCGAGUGGCAUUCAAUAAAGCUAAUGUGAAAUGACACUAGAGUUAGUGUGAUGUAAAGAAUUAAAGUGAUGUAAAGAAUGAUGAAAAUAACGACGAGUAAAGCUAAAGUAAAGUGGGCAAUAAGAACAAGAAUGCUAGAGUUAGCAAAAGUAAAAGAAAUGCAAAGAACAAUGAUUGCUAGAGUUAGCAAGAGUAAUGAGAAUGUAAAGAAUGUGAUUGCAUGAGUUUGCAACAUAAAGUGAUGUAAAGAACACUAGAGCUAGUGUAAAGUCAAGAUUGAACUAUAAUCCUUUGAGUUAAGGAUAUGAUCAUACUUGCUGUUGAGUUCCGUGCUCGAGGGCGGUCGCUCCCCCUCGGGCGAUGCGCUCCGGAGUUAUGCAUCCGGGUUGGAGUAGACCCGAAAGGACGGUCCUAGCUGGUGAGUACCUGCGAUGAUGGACUUAGCGUGAGGCAAGUUAAUGUGGCGAAACCCCCGGGUUAGCCUUAAUGAUUAAAGAGCAAAGAACAAAGAAUAAAGAACAAAGAGUAAAGUGAAAAGAACUAAAGAACAUGCAUAACCUGCAUCUAUUAAUGUUGAGCAUAUUCCUUGCUUUUGUUCAGGCAUAUUAGCAUCAUGUUAUAGAUUGGUUACCAUAUUUCAGCUUAUCCUUUCUAUUAUGCCUGAGUUAGUCCUAGUGGGAAAGUCGGUGAUGUUGAGGCCGAACCCACUGGGAACUUUGUUGUAGUUCUCACCCCACUAUUUCCACAGAGCCGGGACCGAGCGAGCCGGCGAGCGACCGAGGUAAAGGUAUCGCGCCUUAGUCAGAGGCCACCAGAGUUGGGUUACAUUUUGUUAGUAGACACCCUUUUAUCAUCUUUUGUACUUGAUGAUUAGUGAUGUAAAGAAAAGAAUGCAAAGCUUAUUUUGAGGUAAAUGUGUUGUAAGAAAGAAAUGAUGAGAUUAUGUAAGAACAGCAAAGAAUCUUAAAUGUAAGAGAUGGAUGCAAUGUAUAUGAUCUAAAAUGAAUCAUAUUACUUGUGAAUGUUUAGUUUUCCUUUCUUUCACUGAUGGCUAUUGCUUACCCUCGCGUAAGCCGUUUGUGUAUGUUUCCGCUAGUGCUUUUCUCUAUUGAUGAAAAUGUACAUGUGAUGAGCCUUGGGCGGAUAGGGGAAACUCUGUCCGUCCGGCGUCUGUUUGACGUGCUCGGAUCGGGCCAAAUUGGCAGCGGUCCCGGGGCGUGACA
Molecule: long non-coding RNA, 8268 nt
Filed under: Ananas comosus (pineapple)
Lineage: Eukaryota; Viridiplantae; Streptophyta; Magnoliopsida; Poales; Bromeliaceae
Description: long non-coding RNA (ACOM_LNC044168)
Source: RNAcentral